UAAAUGGAUUUUUUUAAAUCCAUAGAACUCAUUAUCAUAACAUUUGG
This is a non-coding RNA of Pongo abelii (Sumatran orangutan), 47 nucleotides long. The record is from Rfam. Lineage: Eukaryota; Metazoa; Chordata; Mammalia; Primates; Hominidae.